Molecule: long non-coding RNA, 313 nt
Filed under: Homo sapiens (human)
Lineage: Eukaryota; Metazoa; Chordata; Mammalia; Primates; Hominidae
Description: HSALNT0401691
Source: RNAcentral
UUCCUCUUGAUGAAAAUCCCUUGCCCCACAAAUGGGCCUGUGUGGACAGAGAGGGCGAGUGAUAGGAAGAUGCGGUGAGGGCAGAGAGACGCCUUCCAGGGGAAGAAAUCAGAGAAUCCUGCCCAAGACCUGGAGCCCGCGAAGCCUCCCACCUCCUGGGGCACCAGGAGACACAGAAAAGUACAAAGAAGAAAACUAAAAAGGUGACCCAGAGAGAACCACUCUAAGAUGUGCACGGGAAUUCAGCUCAGCUCGCGUAUUUAAAUUGAGAUCCUACUGUUGUCUGUUUUUUCAUUUUUCACGAAAAUAAAAC